Molecule: small RNA, 151 nt
Filed under: human oral metagenome
Description: ydaO/yuaA leader
Rfam family: c-di-AMP riboswitch aptamer (ydaO/yuaA leader)
About the family: This family represents a conserved RNA structure found upstream of the ydaO and yuaA genes in Bacillus subtilis and related genes in other bacteria. The ydaO/yuaA element is thought to act as a genetic "off" switch for the ydaO and yuaA genes in its native state. It is believed that the element may be triggered during osmotic shock leading to activation of ydaO, a predicted amino acid transporter gene, and members of the yuaA-yubG operon which code for KtrA and KtrB K+ transporters.
Source: RNAcentral
GAAAGCCGAAUCCAGCUCAGGAGCGGGGGAACCAAUCUUCUGGGGUGAAUGUUUUUUAGGAGCGCGUAUGUGUUUCGACCGGCUCCUAGGACAAGGGGAAUCUCUUGCCCCUGACCCGUCAGCUAACCUCGUAGGCGAAUAAAGAGAGGAG